GAGCCAGACUCCUACGGGAGGCAGCAGUGGGGAAUAUUGCACAAUGGGGGGAACCCUGAUGCAGCGACGCCGCGUGGGUGAAGGAGUAUUUCGGUAUGUAAAGCCCUAUCAGCAGGGAAGAACAAUGACGGUACCUGACUAAGAAGCACCGGCUAAAUACGUGCCAGCAGCCGCGGUAAUACGUAUGGUGCAAGCGUUAUCCGGAUUUACUGGGUGUAAAGGGAGCGCAGGCGGCGCGUUAAGCCUGGUGUGAAAGCCCGCGGCCGAUCCGCGGGACUGCAUUGGGAACUGGCGCGCUGGAGUGCCGGAGGGGUAGGCGGAAUUCCUAGUGUAGCGGUGAAAUGCGUAGAUAUUAGGAGGAACACCGGUGGCGAAGGCGGCCUGCUGGACUGCGACUGACGUUGAGGCCCGAAAGCGUGGGGAGCAAACAGGAUUAGAUACCCUCGUAAGC
This 451-nucleotide ribosomal RNA is filed under the name uncultured bacterium. RNAcentral's name for it is "bacterial SSU rRNA". It matches the Rfam family "Bacterial small subunit ribosomal RNA", at positions 328 to 794 of the family's 1533-position model. The record is from RNAcentral.